GGCCUAACACAUGCAAGUCGAGCGCGCCUUCGGGUGAGCGGCGGACGGGUUAGUAACGCGUGGGAACGUGCCCUUCUCUACGGAAUAGCCUCUGGAAACGGAGAGUAAUACCGUAUACGCCCUUUGGGGGAAAGAUUUAUCGGAGAAGGAUCGGCCCGCGUUAGAUUAGGUAGUUGGUGGGGUAACGGCCUACCAAGCCUACGAUCUAUAGCUGGUUUUAGAGGAUGAUCAGCAACACUGGGACUGAGACACGGCCCAGACUCCUACGGGAGGCAGCAGUGGGGAAUCUUAGACAAUGGGGGCAACCCUGAUCUAGCCAUGCCGCGUGAGUGAUGAAGGCCUUAGGGUCGUAAAGCUCUUUCGCCUGUGAUGAUAAUGACAGUAGCAGGUAAAGAAACCCCGGC
This 404-nucleotide ribosomal RNA is filed under the name uncultured bacterium. RNAcentral describes it as "bacterial SSU rRNA". It matches the Rfam family "Bacterial small subunit ribosomal RNA", at positions 45 to 497 of the family's 1533-position model. The record is from RNAcentral.